Molecule: long non-coding RNA, 866 nt
Organism: Cornus florida
Lineage: Eukaryota; Viridiplantae; Streptophyta; Magnoliopsida; Cornales; Cornaceae
Exons: 2
Source: RefSeq, a predicted model, not a curated record
CCCUUUUUGUAUUAUUUCACCUGGCUCCAAAUUGGUGGCUUUGUCUUCUAAAUGGAAUAUCUAUUUACAGGACUUUUCUGUGUAUGCCAGUCAUUAGAUGGAACUCUUCCACAUUUUCCCCCGUUUUUCUUUUUCUUUUUAAGUACUAUUAUAAGCGAAUAGUUUUCACUUUACCAGUUCUUUAAAUAACAUGAACUCUCACUUGUUAUGGCUAUAAUGUGGAUGGUUUGCUUUUUAUCAUAGAAUUUGGUCAGUCCACAAGGGCAAUAAUGAAUGUGUAAUGGUUUACUUAAAUUUUUGCAGUCCCUUCUCCGUCGAGUUCAAACUUUCGCUAGUCAUUACCUUUCAGUCAGAGCUGUCCAAAUUGCAUCCUAAAUCCGAUCCUAGAACUCCCAGACAGUGGCUGGCAAUGGAAAGUGUACCACUGGAAUUGGUUCGAACAAAGUGAUACCAUCUCCUCAAACUUCUCCUACCUGAAGAUCGGAAAAUCGGAUAAAAACUCUUGCACAUGAAUUUAGCCACAACACCUGUUCGAAUAGGACAAUGGCGAUUACUUUGAUGUGCAUUAGUUAUGCAAUUUGUCACUUUAAGCAAUGGGAUGAGAAUUAUUUAUUCCUUUUCAAUAUUGUGUUUGUAUAUCCUCAAACGUGUAACCUCUAUCUCUCACCAUUACCGGUAGCUGCAAGGCUUGAUGCUGAGAUUGGUAAAAAAAAAACCGAAGAAAAAGAAAAAUACAGAGAGACUAUUUAUAGGCUUACAUAUUAUGGUAAGCCCGUGACAAGUUCUUUCUUUAUCAUGUAAUGCUCCAGUAAACAAUAUGGAAAAAGAAGGUUUGCAAGAGAUGGAAUUGAACUCAUUUUAUCUUA